GCAGGGAAGCUCCCAGGCAACCGCCUCUUCCUGCCGUUUGAUUGGCUACAGGGUUGUCAUGGCAAAGGGGGUGGGCCAGGAAUAGAGGGGCAGCCUGGAUGUUUGUCUUCCCUGGGAACUGGAGGCUUUGAAUGCGAAAUCUGCUUUCUUUUAGGAAAUCCUGCUCAGAUGAAUUUGCCACUUUUACGGAGCCUUUCUAAAAGACCCAAUAAAUGGUGAAAGCAUUGUUAGUAAAAACAGCAACACUGAAUUUAUACACACACACACACACAAACAUAAAGGUAUCUUUAAUGUUUUUCCAUUGAAGAAAAAGUUUGUUGAUUCAAGUAAAAAAAAUACGGGUCUAAUUUUUCUCUGGUCUUCCUAUUUACAGCAACAGAAAGGAGAAGUUGUUCUCCCUGAAUGAGCAGCUCCUGCGUCAAAAUGCCCAGCUUGCGGAAAAGAACGCACAACUCUGCAGGGAGCUGGAGGAGAAGCAGAGGAGAAUAAAGAUUUUGGAACAGCAGAACCGCCAUCUCCACUGCAGGUUCUGCAGCAAGCUGGGGAGAAGCAGGAGCUCCUGGGGAGAACCAAGCGUUGCGGGAACAACUGGACAGUCUUCUAAAUUUACAGAAAAGAAACCGUCAUAGGGGAUAUGACAAAUGAGAGGAUGGACCUUCAGGGUAAAAUUGAGGGGCUUACGCUGGAGAAGGUCGCUUUGGCAGAGGAAAGGAGACAAUAAGAAAGGACUUCACGGAGCGACUGAGGAGGUGAGACACGGACUUUCUCAGACCAUCCAUGACAAAUGCACUCAUUU
Molecule: long non-coding RNA, 796 nt
Organism: Ahaetulla prasina
Lineage: Eukaryota; Metazoa; Chordata; Lepidosauria; Squamata; Colubridae
Exons: 3
Source: RefSeq, a predicted model, not a curated record